GAUACAAUCAUAAGAAUUUGAGAUCGAUUGAUAUCGAGGAGAAAUAUGUUGAUAAAAGAACACCUAAGAAUUUGAGGCAUAAGAAUUAUGCUUAUGUCUCCUAAUGUACUGAAAAUGUGAAGUAUUGGGGGGUGAACUUCAUAAAAAUUCUUAAAAUCAUGAAAACAUUCAAUUGUUACAUUGUUAACAUUGUUCAAUAUUCGAAUAGCAUAGUUUAAGAGUUUGGCAAGUGUUUGACUCAUGAACACAUGGGUAUAUAUUUGAUGGGACUUGCAGACAUGGACAUGCGUGUCCAUGGAAUAAAAAUAGCUAAAUCUGAUGCCUCAUGACCAGCCCAUGACAUUAUGAUUCUUAACCUUGUGCUUUACAUCUGACAGCUUAAUGAUGCCUGGCUAUUUGAUGCUUUGGAUCACAAUGUUUUCCUAUCUUAUCAUAUUCAAAGAUGACUCAAAUCUCAAUGUUUCAGAUACUUGAGAAGUUCUCUUUGUUCAAGGAAGCUCUUUUGUUAACCAAUUGAUCAGUAUAAUUUAUGUAAGCUCAUGUAUGAUGUCUCAAACUCUUUUCCCUUCACUUUCAAAAUGCAUCACUCAAUUUGACUUCCAACUAGCUUGUAACUAAAUGUUAACAAAUUUGUGAGAUUUUGCACCAUGUACAAGAUAUAUUCCUAUAUUUAUGAGAGCAAGAAAAUAGAAAAUUCUAUAUAUUUCUGAUCAAAUGCAAGAUCUGAAUAUUCUAUGUGAUUGACAGUAAUGCCUCUUAACUGUUAUGUUCCUUUUUCGGUUUGUCAAUGGUAAAAACUACAUUAUGGAAAUAAAAGAGAACAAAUGUACAGGUUUCUACAUCUGGUUUCCUCUGCUUGAAGUCCUAGUAAUUUGGUCCAUGUAUAUGGAUAACUUUUCUGGUACGAUCUACAUUUCGCAUUAAUUCUUUCAUGCUGUGUCUACUUUGUCAUGAUUAUUAUAUCAGUUAUGUCCAUGCAGAAACUAGAACAGUCAUCUUAACAAUCUGUUUCUUGCAUUCACUGCAGUACCCAAGUUCACAGAUGUUGAUACAUACGGACAUUGAAGAUGAAACACUUUCAUGCACGGUGGCAAACAAAUUACAAGAAUUGCAAUUAUAAAGAGAGAAAAGUUAUACUUACGCGCAAAUGGCAUGUCCAAUCUCGUGUUUUUCCUCGCCUUCCAGCAAGAAUUGCUGCUUCAUUCAUCAAGUUUGCCAGGUCUGCACCACUGAAUCCUGGUGUUCUCAUUGCAAUAACACUCAAGGAUAUAUCUUUGUCGAGCUUCUUAUUGCUGCUAUGCACUUUUAGUAUUUCUUCCCUUCCUCUGAUGUCAGGCAAUCCAACAGUUACCUGCAAGGCAAAUGUGGAAACAAUUUUGUUACCUGUCGAUCAAAUCUUCCUGGUCUGAGCAAAGCUGAAUCAAGAACUUCUGGUCUGUUAGUAGCAGCAAUUACAAUAACUCCACUAUCACCACUAAAACCAUCCAUUUCAGUGAGUAGCUGAUUCAGUGUCUGUUCUCUUUCAUCAUUUCCUCCUCCAAUUCCUGUUCCCCUCUGCCUUCCUACUGCAUCAAUCUCAUCAAUAAAUACCAGGCAUGGAGAGUUCAUCUUUGCCUUGUUAAACAGAUCCCGCACUCUCGAAGCCCCCACUCCGACAAACAUCUCAAUGAAUUCUGAACCUGACAGAGAAAAGAAAGGAACCCCUGCCUCUCCUGCAAUUGCUUUAGCCAGCAAGGUUUUGCCAGUCCCUGGUGGACCAACAAGGAGCACACCCUUUGGAAUUCUUGCUCCGACAGCAGCAAACUUCUCUGGGGAUUUCAGGAAUUCAACAAUCUCCUUGAAAUCCUGCUUUGCUUCAUCGACUCCAGCUACAUCAUCAAAGGUGAUUCCUGUGUUGGGUUCCAUCUGAAACUCGGCUUUUGACCUGCACAGAGUUCAUAAGCAUCAAUGCUUUGUGUGCGUACCUUCUUCUGAACCAUCCAAAAGGCAAGUUGGGGCUUCCUGGAGUAUUCGGUGAUGAAGAUCUAAGGAACAAAGUUCCCAGUAACAGCAAGGGGAAGACCAGAUUUCCCAACAAGUCGAGGAUUGCAAGUCCCACAUUGGGUUCCACAGGAUGCGCUGCAAAAUCUACAUCCUUCUCUUUGAGUUUCCUGAGAAGCUCCGGGGGCAAUCCGGGAAGCU
Molecule: long non-coding RNA, 2181 nt
Organism: Musa acuminata AAA Group (dessert banana)
Lineage: Eukaryota; Viridiplantae; Streptophyta; Magnoliopsida; Zingiberales; Musaceae
Exons: 4
Source: RefSeq, a predicted model, not a curated record